Molecule: long non-coding RNA, 819 nt
Filed under: Capra hircus (goat)
Lineage: Eukaryota; Metazoa; Chordata; Mammalia; Artiodactyla; Bovidae
Description: lncRNA (ENSCHIG00010021750.1)
Source: RNAcentral
UCGGCCGAGCAGUGAGGUGAGCCCGUGUGUCAAGCAGAGAAGAGCCAGAGCCCCUUCUGACACUGGGCGCAGGGGGGAGCGGGUGCUUACGCCAGAAGAGGCGUGCAGCCUUGUUUAUUUUCAUUUCUGCGAUUGAAAAUGCUCACUUCCUAGGCCCCUCGGCUCGGUAUGGCUGUUCCUUUAAAGAGAAAAAGGAAGUGUGGUCCUGGCAGAGUGAACCGAAGCAAUAAAAAAUAAAUCUUGGUAAUUGUUGUGGAGACAGAAAGCAAAACAAACCGGACUUAAGUACAUUGUAAGAAAAUGUCAGCGUCGGAGGCCGGGCCAUUAGCGUGCGAAAUCACUCCUCUCCCCGGAGGAGCCUCUGGACGGGGACCAGCCUGUUUGAUUUUCUGCAUUCCUCAUUCUGGGGUUUCUUGGAACGUCAGACUACUGCGUUUUUUUUCUUUUUCCUGAAAAGGACGGGUGGCUUCAGAGAUGUCGAUUGGAGAAACGUCAGGAAGGAGCCUGAAGGGAGACAGCCGUCUGCGAGCCGACCCGCUCAACAGCGGUUCCUGGGCCCCGGGGCCCGCAGGGCCGAAGGACAGGCAGCACUUGGAUGGCACAGCCGCUGGGCCGCUGCUCCCAACACGGAGGAGAACAGCCCCACGUGGGCCAGACGCUGAGCAGCGCUCCACCGACACGCGCUCGGUGUGAAAUGGUUCUCUCCAGAGAGCAGACCCAUGGCCAGGCCUGGCCAGUCGAGUUCCUUCAUGAAUUGUAUGUCUAUCUGCUGAGGAGAGAGUGACUUCCACUUACUUCUUGGAUCUCCAAGACCCCUCC